GACGAACGCUGGCGGCGUGCUUAACACAUGCAAGUCGAACGGUAAGGCCCUUCGGGGUACACGAGUGGCGAACGGGUGAGUAACACGUGGGUGAUCUGCCCUGCACUUCGGGAUAAGCCUGGGAAACUGGGUCUAAUACCGGAUAGGACCACUGCCUGCAUGGGUGGUGGCGGAAAGCUUUUGCGGUGUGGGAUGGGCCCGCGGCCUAUCAGCUUGUUGGGGGGGUGAUGGCCUACCAAGGCGACGACGGGUAGCCGGCCUGAGAGGGUGACCGGCCACACUGGGACUGAGAUACGGCCCAGACUCCUACGGGAGGCAGCAGUGGGGAAUAUUGCACAAUGGGCGCAAGCCUGAUGCAGCGACGCCGCGUGAGGGAUGACGGCCUUCGGGUUGUAAACCUCUUUCAGCACCGACGAAGCGCAAGUGACGGUAGGUGCAGAAGAAGGACCGGCCAACUACGUGCCAGCAGCCGCCGUAA
Molecule: ribosomal RNA, 478 nt
Filed under: uncultured bacterium
Lineage: Bacteria
Description: partial 16S ribosomal RNA
Rfam family: Bacterial small subunit ribosomal RNA
Source: RNAcentral